RNAcentral lists this ribosomal RNA (442 nucleotides) under uncultured bacterium. RNAcentral's name for it is "bacterial SSU rRNA". It matches the Rfam family "Bacterial small subunit ribosomal RNA", at positions 462 to 906 of the family's 1533-position model. The record is from RNAcentral.
UGGGGUUUUGCAUGUACCGUAUGAAUAAGGAUCGGCUAACUCCGUGCCAGCAGCCGCGGUAAUACGGAGGAUCCGAGCGUUAUCCGGAUUUAUUGGGUUUAAAGGGUGCUCAGGCGGGGGAUUAAGUCGGCGGUGAAAUUUUGCAGCUCAACUGUAAAAGUGCCUUCGAAACUGGUUUCCUUGAGUGUGGAUGAGGUAGGCGGAAUUUGUGGUGUAGCGGUGAAAUGCAUAGAUAUCACGAGGAACUCCGAUUGCGCAGGCAGCUUACUAAACCAUAACUGACGCUCAAGCACGAAGGCGUGGGGAUCAAACAGGAUUAGAUACCCUGGUAGUCCACGCAGUAAACGAUGAUUACUGGCUGUUUGCGAUAUAAUGUAAGCGGCUGAGCGAAAGCGUUAAGUAAUCCACCUGGGGAGUACGUUCGCAAGAAUGAAACUCAAAG